ACGAAUAUGUUGCAUUGCAUUGUUAAUUGUUGGUGUGAGUAAAUGCUGAAUGAUCCAAUAGUCUCUGAGUAAAGACCAGGAGCCUUUGACUACGCCCUGGCAGGUAUAGUAAAGACCAGGAGCCUUUGACUAUGCCCUGGCAAUGGUAAGUACAGAGGUGUUAUACACAUAUACAUAUAUGACAGGAAGACCAGGUGCUCGAUUCUACGCCCUGGCACGGAAGUUACUGAGGCUAUGUGGUGACAGGUUUACUCUUGAUGUGGCUUGUCUGUGUUAUGACGCAUUCCAUGAGAUCAUAUGUUAUGACUGAUUUUAUUAUUCUACUCACUGGGCUAUAGAGCUCAUCCCACUCCCUUAAUCCCAGUCUU
Molecule: long non-coding RNA, 368 nt
Filed under: Manihot esculenta (cassava)
Lineage: Eukaryota; Viridiplantae; Streptophyta; Magnoliopsida; Malpighiales; Euphorbiaceae
Description: long non-coding RNA (MESC_LNC008602)
Source: RNAcentral